This 21-nucleotide non-coding RNA is filed under the name Arabidopsis thaliana (thale cress). Lineage: Eukaryota; Viridiplantae; Streptophyta; Magnoliopsida; Brassicales; Brassicaceae. The record is from RNAcentral.
UUGAUCCUCGCUUGGUCGGUC